GGUGACCUCGAUCAGGU
This 17-nucleotide ribosomal RNA is filed under the name Pseudogymnoascus destructans. RNAcentral describes it as "partial large subunit ribosomal RNA". The record is from RNAcentral. RNAcentral also lists the same sequence under 1 other name. Lineage: Eukaryota; Fungi; Ascomycota; Leotiomycetes; Thelebolales; Thelebolaceae.